Molecule: non-coding RNA, 801 nt
Organism: Nothobranchius furzeri (turquoise killifish)
Lineage: Eukaryota; Metazoa; Chordata; Actinopteri; Cyprinodontiformes; Nothobranchiidae
Source: RefSeq, a predicted model, not a curated record
UUCCCCAUUUUAGGAACUGAUAUUUUUUAGAAAAUCUGUAAGUGAUACUCUUACCCUGUAUUGUGAUGUGAUGUGCAAUACGGACAGUUUUUUCCUAAGCCAAUCCCCCCAAUUCUAUAGUCCCUCAUGCAAUUUGAAUUGAGCAUCAUUCAGCAUUAGCCGAUAGCAUUCAGAAUCUGCUUACAGAUGUCAAUCGCAGAGUUUGUGUGCACAUUUGCGGUCCUUGCAGAUGUACCUACUGAUGCAGAUUUGAUAAAAUAAGAAUAUAUAUGUAUAUAAAUAUAUAUAUAUAUGUAUCAGACUGGCUCACUUUGGGCAAUGGCCCACCGGAAAUGUCAUGGUCUGUGCUGAGCUAACACCUGUUUGAGUUUCUCUGUGUGCAGGUGGGUGUGUCUGGAGAGCAGCUGUUGUUGAUCUCCUCAUCAGUGGUCAGGGGAUUUAAGGAGUGUCGGGACAACACAUCAGCGCUGGAUGAUUACUCAGUAUUGGGUACCUUCCAUUCAUCUGCCAACUUCCACCACCAAGCAAGAGACUCACCGGAUCAUCCUGCUUACCAGCCCGUCAAUCGCCCCUGACCGCCUGCUCUCCAACCCCCACCUGCCAUCAGUACAACCUGGACUCCGGUGCUCAGCUCCCAGCCAUUUCCUCUGCCUCUCGCCUGACCAACUCAGCCAGCCCUGACGUGCCCUCCUCUCAAAACUCUCUCUAACUAACUGGAAACCAACUUCAUCAGAACCUCCCGAAUCCCAUUCAACAUCUGCAUCACUCAUCCAACUUUAAUAAAUAAUUUUACUCACCUUC